This 23-nucleotide non-coding RNA is filed under the name Cricetulus griseus (Chinese hamster). Lineage: Eukaryota; Metazoa; Chordata; Mammalia; Rodentia; Cricetidae. The record is from RNAcentral.
UUGGCUUGAUGAAGCGACACGGA